CAGUAGAAGUUCAACUUGAUCCUUCAAUAAUAAGGCGAUAACUCAGGGGCUGGCAUGGGGCAGGGAUUUCAAAAAAGAAGAAUUGGAAGAAUAUGUGGUGUCAGUGUGGAGCAGAGAGAAAAAAGGAGAGGCUGGGAGAUGGUUAAAGAGGAGGAAAUUGAGAUUCACUGAAGGAGAAAGAUUACACUUCUUUCACUUCGGCCUGAGCUAAGAAAAAUGUGCUUCUGUUUAUUCCCCCAAGAUGACAACUUAAGUCUUUGAGUCUAUCAGUUCCAGGCAAGGGUCAAGCUCCACAGGACCAGCCAUCAGGGAAAUAACAUGACUUGUUAUUUCCAGACUAUGUUCAGGUAUGUGUCCACUACAGACUCAGGCACACAAUUUCUCUGAUU
Molecule: long non-coding RNA, 389 nt
Organism: Pan paniscus (pygmy chimpanzee)
Lineage: Eukaryota; Metazoa; Chordata; Mammalia; Primates; Hominidae
Source: Ensembl